This 358-nucleotide transfer-messenger RNA is filed under the name Desulfotomaculum sp. It matches the Rfam family "transfer-messenger RNA". Rfam says of the family: Bacterial tmRNA, also known as 10Sa RNA or SsrA, is named for its dual tRNA and mRNA-like properties. Its role is to liberate the mRNA from a stalled ribosome. The record is from RNAcentral. Lineage: Bacteria; Bacillati; Bacillota; Clostridia; Eubacteriales; Desulfotomaculaceae. RNAcentral also lists the same sequence under 2 other names.
GGGGGCGAAAUGGGUUCGACGGGAGAACAGGUGGCAGAAAUAGCGAGCCGGGGUUCCAUCAGCCCGUUAAACGGUGGAAAAAAUAUAACUGCCAACAAAAAUAGUUACGCUCUAGCUGCUUAAACGCAGCUAGCAUUCCGCUUGCCCUUGCCUGCAGGGCGAGGCCGGGGUGUCAAUUUGUCAGGCUUACCCUUGAGGAUCUCGCUCGAGGACCUAUAGGGGAGCAUCAAUCGGGAUAGCGCCGGCGGAGGCUGACUGUGGCCGCCAAAGGGGCGAAAUUUAAAGCACAGCCUGCGCUCGGAGAAGUUUUUGUGGUCUUUCUUUCGGACGGUGGGUUCAACUCCCCCCGCCUCCACCA